This 1109-nucleotide long non-coding RNA is filed under the name Heterocephalus glaber (naked mole-rat). RNAcentral describes it as "lncRNA (ENSHGLG00100040431.1)". Lineage: Eukaryota; Metazoa; Chordata; Mammalia; Rodentia; Bathyergidae. The record is from RNAcentral.
CCACCACGCUGACUGGAUGAUGGCUUUUUAAGGACAAGAGUCUCCUUUCAACCUGUUGGCUUGUUUUCAGUAAACCUUUUUCUUCCCCCCUCAUUCUGUCCCCCCAGUGUUUGGCGGCAGCAGAACUCGACCUUUCACAGUUGCAUUUUCGCAGAAAAGAAAGCGAAAAAAGUCCAGGAAGAAGGGAAAGACGUCCAGUGAGGGGAACGCGGAGCCCAGGAGGACUGCGCCCCGUUCCUUCCCGCCGCUGGUCAGGGGUCUUAGGGCUCCGCUCCUCUCAAGAACCUGAGCACCAAGCUGCAGUUGUACCGGCAGAGCCUGGUCCUUGCCUGUAAAUAUGGAUGCUGAUGUUGUUAGGGUUGUUAUGAGGCUGAAAUAAAAUACAGUGGCACCUCGGUUCUCGAACUUACUCUGUUCCACCAUUCUGGAGAAGAUGGCUUGAGGUCAUGUUCCUCACCUGAUGCAAUGUUCUCAAAUGCAAGCAAAAUUUUGCUGAGCCCUUCUGUUGGUGAACAGAAUUGUUUUCAAACAGAAGAAUUUGCGAACUAAGAACUAAUAGAAAGUAAUUGAACACAAAAUCUGAGCAAGAAGAGUCAGAUGAAUUGAAUAUGUGACAUUUCAAGGCAUCAGGCUGUGACCGCCAUCUUACCAAAGGAACAGCCUUAGUACAGACAUUGGAGAACAUGAUGCCUCUGGACAGGACAGAAUGGAUACUACCUACCUUCACCCCACUGCCUUUCCUCAGUCUUGGCCUUCAGGGAUGACCAGGGCCCCCUUCAGAUUGACCUAUUCUUCCUUCAGCUAAUGACAAGUAUAAUUAAGAAGUGUUUGAUGACUCCUGAACAGCUAGCUAUCUUUCAUGUCAAUCACAUUUCCCAUGAUCAGCACAGGAAGUGUGAAAAAGAAAAGCUAUUUUUGCUGAACUUAACUCUUUCAGAAGCAUUCAAAUUUGGUAGCAGUGAGUUCACUUUCUGAUACAUUCAGGUAAUGAAGCUAACAGGUACUGUUACAUAUCUCUUCCGGUCAUUCUGGCCAUUGAACUCAAGUACAAGAUGUCUUUGUAGAUCUAUAAAUAAUAGUAUUUUCUAUUUCCCUGCCUGUAAGUGUUG